RNAcentral lists this long non-coding RNA (199 nucleotides) under Coffea arabica (coffee). RNAcentral's name for it is "long non-coding RNA (CARA_LNC007704)". The record is from RNAcentral. Lineage: Eukaryota; Viridiplantae; Streptophyta; Magnoliopsida; Gentianales; Rubiaceae.
AGAAUUGAAAAAAUGGCAAAGAUGCUCAAAAUUUUUGCAAGAGAAAAAUUACAAGUUGGGGGAAUUUGACUCUACCAUUGAUAUUUUGGUCUUCAAUAUCAAAAAGAAACAGGGGCCAUCUACACUCCAAAUUAGGGAGUUUUCAAUUUUAUCAUUGACAUUGGGAUAUCAGUAUUGGUAAAAAAAAAAAAAAAAAAAA